AAUACGUUCCCGGGCCUUGUACACACCGCCCGUCACACCACGAAAGUCGGCAACACCCGAAGCCGGUGGCCUAACCGUAAGGAAGGAGCCGUCGAAGGUGGGGUCGGUGAUUGGGGUG
RNAcentral lists this ribosomal RNA (118 nucleotides) under uncultured bacterium. Its description in RNAcentral is "partial 16S ribosomal RNA". It matches the Rfam family "Bacterial small subunit ribosomal RNA", at positions 1365 to 1482 of the family's 1533-position model. The record is from RNAcentral.